CCUGGGAACUGCGUUNUGAACUGGGUGACUAGAGUGUGUCAGAGGGAGGUAGAAUUCCACGUGUAGCAGUGAAAAGCGUAGAGAUGUGGAGGAAUACCGAUGGCGAAGGCAGCCUCCUGGGAUAACACUGACGUUCAUGCCCGAAAGCGUGGGUAGCAAACAGGAUUAGAUACCCUAGUAGUCCACGCCCUAAACGAUGUCGAUUAGCUGUUGGGCAGCAUGACUGCUUAGUAGCGAAGCUAACGCGUGAAAUCGACCGCCUGGGGAGUACGGUCGCAAGAUUAAAACUCAAAGGAAUUGACGGGGACCCGCACAAGCGGUGGAUGAUGUGGAUUAAUUCGAUGCAACGCGAAGAACCUUACCUGGUCUUGACAUGUACGGAACCCUCCAGAGACGGAGGAGUGCCUUCGGGAGCCGUAACACAGGUGCUGCAUGGCUGUCGUCAGCUCGUGUCGUGAGAUGUUGGGUUAAGUCCCGCAACGAGCGCAACCCUUGUCAUUAGUUGCCAUCAUUAAGUUGGGCACUCUAAUGAGACUGCCGGUGACAAGCCGGAGGAAGGUGGGGAUGACGUCAAGUCCUCAUGGCCCUUAUGACCAGGGCUUCACACGUCAUACAAUGGUCGGUACAGAGGGUAGCCAAGCCGCGAGGUGGAGCCAAUCUCACAAAACCGAUCGUAGUCCGGAUUGCACUCUGCAACUCGAGUGCAUGAAGUCGGAAUCGCUAGUAAUCGCAGGUCAGCAUACUGCGGUGAAUACGUUCCCGGGUCUUGUACACACCGCCCGUCACACCAUGGGAGUGGGGGAUACCAGAAGUAGGUAGGGUAACCGCAAGGAGCCCG
Molecule: ribosomal RNA, 838 nt
Filed under: uncultured bacterium
Lineage: Bacteria
Description: bacterial SSU rRNA
Rfam family: Bacterial small subunit ribosomal RNA
Source: RNAcentral